UGUGAUUAACCCACACUGCGUGGGCGACACGAAACACCGAAACCGAACGCACGCCGUCAAGCAAGAAAUCCACAAAACUUUCAACAACGGAUCUCUUGGUUCUCGCAUCGAUGAAGAGCGCAGCGAAAUGCGAUACCUAGUGUGAAUUGCAGCCAUCGUGAAUCAUCGAGUUCUUGAACGCACAUUGCGCCCGCUGGUAUUCCGGCGGGCAUGCCUGUCUGAGCGUCGUUUCCUUCUUGGAGCGGUGCUUCAGACCUGGCGGGCUGUCUUUUUGGACGGCGCGCCCAAAGCGAGGGGCCUUCUGCGCGAACUAGACUGUGCGCGCGGGGCGGCCGGCGAACUUAUUACCAAGCUCGACCUCAGAUCAGGCAGGAGUACCCGCUGAACUUAAGCAUAUCAAA
This 401-nucleotide ribosomal RNA is filed under the name Pichia fermentans. RNAcentral describes it as "eukaryotic LSU rRNA". The stretch from base 76 to 228 matches the Rfam family "5.8S ribosomal RNA". The record is from RNAcentral. Lineage: Eukaryota; Fungi; Ascomycota; Pichiomycetes; Pichiales; Pichiaceae.